UCAUACGAGAGUUUUUAACUCAAGUGGCGGACGGGUGAGUAACACGUAAGAAUUUACCUUUAGGAGGGGGAUAACAACGAGAAAUUGUUGCUAAUACCCCAUAUGCUUUCGAGUGAAAUGGAUUUUUCCGCCUAGAGAGAAGCUUGCGCCUGAUUAGCUUGUUGGUAAGGUAAUGGCUUACCAAGGCGACGAUCAGUAUCUGGUUUGAGAGGAUGAUCAGACACACUGGAACUGAGACACGGUCCAGACUCCUACGGGAGGCAGCAGUGGGGAAUUUUCCGCAAUGGGCGAAAGCCUGACGGAGCAAUCUCGCGUGAGGGAUGACGGCCUAUGGGUUGUAAACCUCUUUUUUCAGGGAGGAAUAAAAUGACGUGUACCUGAAGAAUAAGCAUCGGCUAACUCCGUGCCAGCAGCCGCGGUAAGACGGAGGAUGCAAGUGUUAUCCGGAAUCACUGGGCGUAAAGCGUCUGUAGGUGGUUUAGUAAGUCAACUGUUAAAUCUUGGAGCUUAACUUCAAAAUCGCAGUCGAAACUGCUAGACUAGAGUAUAGUAGGGGUAAAGGGAAUUUCCAGUGGAGCGGUGAAAUGCGUAGAGAUUGGAAAGAACACCGAUGGCGAAGGCACUUUACUGGGCUAUUACUAACACUCAGAGACGAAAGCUAGGGUAGCAAAUGGGAUUA
Molecule: ribosomal RNA, 679 nt
Filed under: uncultured bacterium
Lineage: Bacteria
Description: bacterial SSU rRNA
Rfam family: Bacterial small subunit ribosomal RNA
Source: RNAcentral